CAAGGCCCUGAUCGAAGCUGUCCUGUUCAUCUAUAGCAGGUACUGGUCAAACAGGAGCCAAUAGCAACACUUUUACCGACGGUCGCUGUACAGUUUGCUUGUAGCUGUCCCAGCAACAUUAAGGAAAAGGACAACU
Molecule: small nucleolar RNA, 136 nt
Organism: Danio rerio (zebrafish)
Lineage: Eukaryota; Metazoa; Chordata; Actinopteri; Cypriniformes; Danionidae
Source: Ensembl